This 322-nucleotide long non-coding RNA is filed under the name Elaeis guineensis (African oil palm). RNAcentral describes it as "long non-coding RNA (EGUI_LNC033012)". Lineage: Eukaryota; Viridiplantae; Streptophyta; Magnoliopsida; Arecales; Arecaceae. The record is from RNAcentral.
AAUCAAUAACACUUUAUUAAAAAUAAAAAUACAUCAAAAUCAUUAACGAAACAUCAAUCAAAAAAAUUGAUUUUAACAAAGUUCGAACUGGAUCUAAUCCAUAUCAAAAAAAUAACAUAAAAUUUGACUGAAUCUAUCAAGGAUGGCUCUGAUACCACCGUUGGGUUCUAAUGAUGCAGUAGAAUAUAGAUUUCAAAAUUUUUUAACAUACAUACAAUAAUGAAAACAAGAUUUAAUAUUUAAACACAACCACUGAAACUCAAAAAUCCAAGGAACCCCUUGAUGAUUACAAUCAAACCAUAAAAUUGAGCAUAUGAGGAGA